GGCAUCAAACUUCCCCUGCUGCAAUGUACAAGAGUUAGCCAGGGGUUUUGUUUUGUUUUUUUGACAUGUCGCCCUGGCUGGAGUACAGUGGUACAAUCUCAGCUCACUGCAACCUCCGCCUCCUGGGUUCAAGCGAUUCUCCUGCCUCAGCCUCCCAAGUAGCUGGGAUUACAGGUGCACACCAUGACACCCAGCUAAUUUUUGUAUUUUUAGUAGAGAUAGGGUUUCACCAUGUUGGCCAGCCUGGUUUUGAACUCCUGACCUCAAAUGAUCUGCCUGCCUCGGCCUCCCAAAGUGCUGGGAUUACAGGUGUGAGCCACCAUGCCCAGCUGCAGAGUGCAUUUUUAAGCAAACACAUCAUAUGUCAAUUCUUCAUAUAGUGUUCUUUAAUUUAUCUUGGGAAGCCAAAUAUCCCAUUUAGAAUUCUGUAAGAACUGAUUUUUCAAAUGCACAAUUAACCUAAGUCUUGCUUCUUGUUCAGUUCUAUUAGUUUCUAUGGAAAUAAGAAUAAAAGUAAAUGACUAUUUUUGCUUCUAAGGAAUUUACAAUUAAUCCUGAGAAGAUGUCUUAAGUGUAAACCUAAAAGUAUGGGAUUUUUUGGCUCAAAAAAAAAAUUUUCCUAACGGCCAGGCCUAGGGUUAAGAGGAAGUUAUUUUCUUGGGUUCAGAGAUUUGCAUAUGAAUGUUUUAAGCCUCUUAAAGUGACUUAAAACAACCUGGGACCCAAAGUUGUUGCCAGCUCAAAUGUAAAUGUUUUUAAACUUCAAAUUGCUGCUUCUGUUAUCACUGAACCUAUUAAUUUUCCUUAAACAGAAUUCUGACCAUUUCAUUGCCUCUUAAAAAGCUUCAGUGGGCCAGGCACAGUGGCUCACAGCUGUAAUCUCAGCACUUUGGGAGGCAGAGGCGGAGGAUUACCUGAGGUCAGGAGUUCAAGACCAGCCAAGCCAAUAUGGUAAAACCCCAUCUCUACUAAAAAUAUGAAAAUUAGCUAGGCAUGGUGUCAGGUGACUGUAAUCCCAGCUACUUGGGAGGCUGAGGCAGGAGAAUCACUUGAACCCGGGAGGCGGAGGUUUCAGUGAGCCGAGAUCUCGCCAUUGCACUCCAGCCUGGGCAAAAAGAGUGAAACUCCAUCUGAAAAAAAAAGCU
Molecule: long non-coding RNA, 1145 nt
Filed under: Homo sapiens (human)
Lineage: Eukaryota; Metazoa; Chordata; Mammalia; Primates; Hominidae
Description: non-protein coding lnc-GINS4-1:1
Source: RNAcentral